UAUGGGUUUUAUCUCUUCGGGCGGAUCAACUAGUGUCCAGACACUAUGGAUCUCCAUGGACUCCAUCUCAGACUUCAUGGCCUCAAGCUAUUUUUAAGAGUCAGACCUUUGCAUGGCUUCCAUAUAGGUGAUCGGAUCCUCAUCGUUCUCAUCAAGUUCAAUAGGAUUACCGUCCUGGAUCAAAAAAUCAUAGUAUCUGUCCGAUUGACGUGGUACUCUAUC
Molecule: long non-coding RNA, 222 nt
Filed under: Elaeis guineensis (African oil palm)
Lineage: Eukaryota; Viridiplantae; Streptophyta; Magnoliopsida; Arecales; Arecaceae
Description: long non-coding RNA (EGUI_LNC082135)
Source: RNAcentral